AUGGGUGUAGUUCAGUUGGUAGAACGCUGCAUUUGGGAUGCAGAGGCUCGCAGGUUCAAGUCCUGUCACCCAUA
RNAcentral lists this transfer RNA (74 nucleotides) under Crassvirales sp. RNAcentral's name for it is "tRNA-Pro". It matches the Rfam family "tRNA". From Rfam's summary of the family: Transfer RNA (tRNA) molecules are approximately 80 nucleotides in length. The record is from RNAcentral. Lineage: Duplodnaviria; Heunggongvirae; Uroviricota; Caudoviricetes; Crassvirales.